This 137-nucleotide ribosomal RNA is filed under the name uncultured eukaryote. RNAcentral's name for it is "partial 18S ribosomal RNA". It matches the Rfam family "Eukaryotic small subunit ribosomal RNA", at positions 1299 to 1458 of the family's 1831-position model. The record is from RNAcentral.
UGGUGGAGUGAUCUGUCUGGUUAAUUCCGUUAACGAACGAGACCUUAACCUGCUAAAUAGUUGUUGUGAAUCUUUCAUUAAUAGCUUCUUAGAGGGACUUUGCGUGUUUUAACGCAAGGAAGUUUGAGGCAAUAACA